UACAGUGGUCAGUAUUUCGCAUUGUGGUUGCGACGACCUGGGUUCGAUUCCCAGAUUCUGC
RNAcentral lists this transfer RNA (61 nucleotides) under Striatella unipunctata. RNAcentral's name for it is "partial tRNA". It matches the Rfam family "tRNA", at positions 11 to 70 of the family's 71-position model. Rfam says of the family: Transfer RNA (tRNA) molecules are approximately 80 nucleotides in length. Lineage: Eukaryota; Bacillariophyta; Striatellaphyceae; Striatellales; Striatellaceae. The record is from RNAcentral.